CGAUCCACUGAGAUUCAGCC
Molecule: small RNA, 20 nt
Filed under: Arabidopsis thaliana (thale cress)
Lineage: Eukaryota; Viridiplantae; Streptophyta; Magnoliopsida; Brassicales; Brassicaceae
Description: AGO1_1917
Source: RNAcentral